RNAcentral lists this ribosomal RNA (450 nucleotides) under Triticum aestivum (bread wheat). RNAcentral's name for it is "partial small subunit ribosomal RNA". Lineage: Eukaryota; Viridiplantae; Streptophyta; Magnoliopsida; Poales; Poaceae. The record is from RNAcentral.
AUGAAUUGUAUAAGUUGGAACUGCCGGGGGCUUGGGAACCCCGAGGCAGUUUGCGAGCUUCGCAAUGUUGUGAAGCAAGAAGGGCCUGCCCUAGUUUUUGUUAUGGAGACAAAGAUUAGGGGGAAGAAGGUGGAAAACUUGCAGAGUACGUUGGACUUUGCAGGAAGCUUUGGAGUGGAUAGUGAUGGUCUCAGUGGUGGGAUCGGCUUGUUUUGGUCAAGGGAUAUCACGGUCAGCUUUAAAAACUACAGCCAGAACCAUAUUGAUGUCACCAUUCAGAAGAAAGAUCUCUCUGAACCGGAGUGGCGAUUUACAGGUUUUUAUGGAGCUUCUCGAGUGGAGGAUCGGCACCACAGCUGGCGAUUCCUGAGAACGCUGCACAAUAUUAGUCACCAGGCAUGGAUUUGUAUGGGGGACUUUAAUGAAACGUUAUGCAACAAAGCAUUUUAG